Long non-coding RNA from Ananas comosus (pineapple), 844 nucleotides. RefSeq lists it as uncharacterized. The record is from RefSeq and is a predicted model, not a curated record. NCBI's taxonomy places the organism in Eukaryota, Viridiplantae, Streptophyta, Magnoliopsida, Poales, Bromeliaceae. The transcript is spliced from 3 exons.
AAAAUGGAAAAAAAAAUCUUAAUUAUUUUAAUUUUCCUUAAUUAAUUAGUUUCUAAUUACAUCAUAAACACGGUUUCCAAAAGCCCCCCUAGAUUAAGAUACGACGUAGAGUUUCUCAAUUUUUUUUUAAAUUUUUUUUUCCAUACCAUUUCGAAAAAAAUUACAAACCACAAUCUCUCCGAUCCCUCUUUACAUAAGAUGGUCUCCGCAUUGUUCUUGAUCGAUCGCACCGCGAUGUCGAGCUUUGGAGCCCCAGUUUGAUCGAUUCUAGGGUUUCGUUUGUUCGAUUCGUGCGGCGACAUGGAUGAUGCGAAUUUGGAGUCGGAUUCGCAGCAAGAGAAGAUGAAGGAAGACAUACGCCGAGUGUCAGAUGUACUUUCUAUCUCAGAAGCUUCUGCAUGCAGCCUUCUUAUUCACUUCAAAUGAGGAAGAAGCAGAGCUAUACAGGCCCAGCUGAAAAGCACUUUUAGAAAACCCAAAUAGUGUAUGUGCAUAGGUGUUCCACUGUCCACCGAAAGGAUCUAUCGAGUUGUGGUUUUCUGUUCUGGGUCUGAACAACCCAAAGCAGAUAGAGGUGUUAUUCCCCCUAGGAAAAUGACAUCCUAUGGUGGCUCUGAAAGGAGUGUGUGUGUGGCAUUUCUGGUUUGUCAACAUGGUUCUUAGAAAAAGACUGUUCACUAAACUAAGUUCCUAGAUAAAAUUUGAAAUGCCUUCUCUUAUGGAACCAAUGGUAUAGGGGAAUAAAGAAAAGAUUAGUACAGGUAAUUGACUUCCAAUAGAUCUCACAAGAGACACGAGAGAGCGAGAGAGAGAGAGAGAGAGAAUAUGUAUAAAAAUUACCUGG